UUCUUCACCAUAAAAAUUAAGUUUUUCUUCUCCUUUCUUUUCUUUUCUUACUUCUCCAUUCUCGUACCCUUUUAUUAACCCAACCCACAACUCUCAACCUCAUUUUUCAUCCUAACUAAACCCUAGGAGAGAGAAAGGAAGAAAGAAGAAAGGAAGGAAAGAAAGGAAAAAGGAAAAGAAAAGCUCGGAGGAGGCUCGGUCUUGGAGGAGAAAAAAGAAAAUUGAGAGGUUUUCCUCCUCACCCACACACCAUUGUUGAAGUUUGAAAAGAUUUUGGUGGUUUACCUUGUGGAUUUCAAGUAAGGAUCAAUAAAGAUCUAAGGAGCCUGAGGCAUGCAUGUGGGAGAAUCUUAGAAUGCGUGGUGAUUUUGACCUAGAUUAAGUGGAAGUGCAAAAAUAAAGAUAGUGUAUUGUGGUGGCGUACCGAAGGAAAUAACGAGCGACCGACAAGUAGAAAUAGCUAGAUAUGCCUUUGAACUAAUAGCGAUGUAGUAUUCCGCUAUCGUAAGGAUUGAAGGUAGUUGGAUCCUAGGUCAAGGUGCUCCCUCCUAUUUAUCUUUCGGUAGGUUCACUACGACUCCUAAUGAUAGCACCCAUGCCCAGAGUCACUUCGCUGGUAAUCAAAGGUCUGUUGCAUGUUUAUAUGUGAUAGUUUAAUAUAUAUUGUGAGAUUUGUUAUGAACUUCGUAUGUACUUGAUUUUCACGAUUUAAAUUCGAAGAGAUUGUUAUUAGAAAUCACGAGUCUUAGAUCCUAAAGAAAAAGAAGUGAUAGAUGGACUACUGACAAGUUUACAUAUAGAGGCUUGCUUGGGCCAGAUGGACUAUGCCUAUUGG
Molecule: long non-coding RNA, 835 nt
Organism: Theobroma cacao (cacao)
Lineage: Eukaryota; Viridiplantae; Streptophyta; Magnoliopsida; Malvales; Malvaceae
Source: RefSeq, a predicted model, not a curated record